AAGGCUGGGAAUGUUUCGGAGA
This 22-nucleotide microRNA is filed under the name Mus musculus (house mouse). RNAcentral describes it as "mmu-miR-3083b-5p". The record is from miRBase by way of RNAcentral. Lineage: Eukaryota; Metazoa; Chordata; Mammalia; Rodentia; Muridae.